Molecule: ribosomal RNA, 781 nt
Filed under: uncultured Neocallimastigales
Lineage: Eukaryota; Fungi; Neocallimastigomycota; Neocallimastigomycetes; Neocallimastigales
Description: partial large subunit ribosomal RNA
Rfam family: Eukaryotic large subunit ribosomal RNA
Source: RNAcentral
CGUCUAUAUACGUAUAGCAUAUCAAUAAGCGGAGGAAAAGAAACUAACUAAGGAUUCCCUCAGUAACGGCGAGUGAAGCGGGAAGAGCUCAAAUUUGAAAUCUUCAAGGUUCUACCUUGACGAAUUGUAGUUUAAAGAAGUGUUUUCUGUUGGAAGUUUUGGUAAAGGUUCUUUGGAAUAGGACAUCAUAGAGGGUGAGAAUCCCGUAUUUGACCGAUUAUUUUCCAGCUUUGUGGAUACACUUUCAAAGAGUCGGAUUGUUUGGGAAUGCAGUCCAAAAUGGGUGGUAAAUUUCAUCUAAAGCUAAAUACUGGCGAGAGACCGAUAGCGAACAAGUACCGUGAGGGAAAGAUGAAAAGAACUUUGAAAAGAGAGUUAAACAGUACGUGAAAUUGUCAAAAGGGAAGCGUUUGACACCAGUGUUGUUUUCUCGAAAAUCAAUUAAAAAUGGCAGGGAUUUUGUGUUGUAUUGACUUUAUCAGCUUUCAGCACUUUUUUCUUGUCUUUUUUAAUGCACUUUUCGUUUAACAAGUCAACAUCAAUUUCUUUUGUUGUAAAAGGGUCAUUGGAAGGUGGCUUUCACUUCGGUGAAAGUGUUUAUAGCCUUUGGCUUCUGACAAUCGGAGAGAUUGAGGUCUGCAGCGUAGAUCCUUCGGGGUUAGAUGCAUUUGUGCUAAGUUAUAGCCUUUCAUAGACAACUUGUUGACUAUGAUCAGUCAUGUAGCUUACUCGCUUAUGUCAUUUUACCUACGCUUAGGAUGUUGAUCUGUAGUGCGUGCGC